GAUCAUGGCUCAGGAUGAACGCUAGCUACAGGCUUAACACAUGCAAGUCGAGGGGCAGCGAGAAGAAAGCUUGCUUCUUGUCGGCGACCGGCGCACGGGUGAGUAACGCGUAUCCAACCUUCCCUUAGUAGGGCAUAGCCGGCGAAAGUCGGAUUAAUACCCUAUGUUCUUCGUAGAGGACAUCUGAAAUGAAGCAAAGACUUGUCGCUAAGGGAUGGGGAUGCGUCUGAUUAGGUAGUCGGCGGGGUAACGGCCCACCGAGCCUGCGAUCAGUAGGGGUUCUGAGAGGAAGGUCCCCCACAUUGGAACUGAGACACGGUCCAAACUCCUACGGGAGGCAGCAGUGAGGAAUAUUGGUCAAUGGGCGCGAGCCUGAACCAGCCAAGUAGCGUGCCAGGAUGACGGCCCUAUGGGUUGUAAACUGCUUUUAUGCGGGGAUAAAGUGCACCACGUGUGGUGUUUUGUAGGUACCGCAUGAAUAAGGACCGGCUAAUUCCGUGCCAGCCGCUGC
This 511-nucleotide ribosomal RNA is filed under the name uncultured bacterium. Its description in RNAcentral is "bacterial SSU rRNA". It matches the Rfam family "Bacterial small subunit ribosomal RNA", at positions 15 to 518 of the family's 1533-position model. The record is from RNAcentral.